AACUUACCAGGUCAAGACAUGGGCGUGAUUGACAGGCUAAUGACUUUUCUCGAUUCCAUGGAUGGUGGUGCAUGGUCGCACUUAGUUGGUGCAGUGAUUUGUCAGGUUUAUUCCGGUAACGAACGAGACCUCGGCCUUGUAAAUAGCUAUGCUGCUUACAGGGACAUUGGCGGCUACGCCAAGGAAGCUCGAGGCAAUUGCAGAUCUGGAAUGCCCUUAGAUGUCCUGGGUCGCACGCGUGCUACAAUGACGCCACGAACGAGCUUGCGUGAUGAAAGUUACGCAUAAUCAGCAGUCGGCGUCUUAAGGGAUAGUCUCUUGUAACUGUGGGACUCCAACUAGGAAUGUCUCGUAAGCACAAGUCAACAUCUUGUGUUGAUUACGUCCCUGCUCUUUGUACACACCGCCCGUCGCUCCUACCGAUCGAGUGUUUAGGUGAAUUUGAUGGACGUAAGGAAGUCAAAUAAACCUGAGCACUAGAGAAGAGAAGUCGAGCAUCU
RNAcentral lists this ribosomal RNA (500 nucleotides) under uncultured Myrionecta. RNAcentral's name for it is "bacterial SSU rRNA". It matches the Rfam family "Eukaryotic small subunit ribosomal RNA", at positions 1212 to 1798 of the family's 1831-position model. The record is from RNAcentral. Lineage: Eukaryota; Ciliophora; Litostomatea; Cyclotrichida; Mesodiniidae.